Molecule: long non-coding RNA, 270 nt
Filed under: Ananas comosus (pineapple)
Lineage: Eukaryota; Viridiplantae; Streptophyta; Magnoliopsida; Poales; Bromeliaceae
Description: long non-coding RNA (ACOM_LNC014723)
Source: RNAcentral
GUUAAGUCUUGUGUGUUGGCAAGUUUCGUGAAGUGAGUCGGAGUCUUGAAGAAUCGGUGUGUGUCGUCGACGAUUGAAGAAUUCAAGAUUUCGAAGAAGUUGGAAAAUAACUCACGAUAUGAAUCACGACGUAAAGGUAAAGUUUUAAUUCAUGUUAUGGUGAUUCAUGCUUAAUUAUAGGCAUUAGAAUCAUAUAAUCAAAGUUUAGUUGAUUAGAAAAUGCUUCGGAACUUUGCGGAACCCAGAACGGUGCAAAAUCCGAAAAAUUGC